UGUUAAUAGCAUACUCAUUUGACGUUAGCUGCAGAAGAAGCACCGGCUAACUCCGUGCCAGCAGCCGCGGUAAUACGGAGGGUGCGAGCGUUAAUCGGAAUUACUGGGCGUAAAGCGCAUGCAGGUGGUUUGUUAAGUCAGAUGUGAAAGCCCGGGGCUCAACCUCGGAAUUGCAUUUUGAAACUGGCAAACUAGAGUACUGUAGAGGGGGUAGGAAUUUCAGGUGUAGCGGUGAAAUGCGUAGAGAUCUGAAGGAAUACCGGUGGCGAAGGCGGCCCCCUGGACCAGAUACUGACACUCAGAUGCGAAAGCGUGGGGAGCAAACAGGAUUAGAUACCCUGGUAG
This 345-nucleotide ribosomal RNA is filed under the name uncultured bacterium. RNAcentral describes it as "bacterial SSU rRNA". It matches the Rfam family "Bacterial small subunit ribosomal RNA", at positions 451 to 793 of the family's 1533-position model. The record is from RNAcentral.